UUGGAGGGCAGUCUGGUGCCAGCAGCCGCGGUAAUUCCAGCUCCAAUAGCGUAUAUUAAAGUUGUUGCAGUUAAAAAGCUCGUAGUUGAAUUUCGGGAUCAGAUUGUCGGUCGUGCCUCGGUACGCACUGGCAUUAUUGGUUCCUACCUUCUGAAGAACCGCGAUGUCAUUAAUUUGGUGUCGUGGGGAAUCAGGACUGUUACUUUGAAAAAAUUAGAGUGUUUAAAGCAGGCUUACGCUUGAAUACAUUAGCAUGGAAUAAUGAAAUAGGACGUUUGAUUCUAUUUUGUUGGUUUCUAGGAUUGACGUAAUGAUUAAUAGGGAUAGUUGGGGGUAUUAGUAUUCAAUUGUCAGAGGUGAAAUUCUUGGAUUUAUUGAAGACUAACUACUGCGAAAGCAUUUGCCAAGGAUGUUUUCAUUAAUCAAGAACGAAAGUUAGGGGAUCGAAGACGAUCAGAUACCGUCGUAGUCUUAACCAUAAACUAUGCCGGCUAGGGAUCGGACGAAGUUAAUUUUAUAAUGACGCGUUCGGCGCCUUACGGGAAAC
This 547-nucleotide ribosomal RNA is filed under the name uncultured Glomeromycotina. RNAcentral's name for it is "SSU rRNA". It matches the Rfam family "Eukaryotic small subunit ribosomal RNA", at positions 548 to 1098 of the family's 1831-position model. Lineage: Eukaryota; Fungi; Glomeromycota. The record is from RNAcentral.